GUUCGAUCAUGGCUCAGAUUGAACGCUGGCAGGAUGCUUUUACACAUGCAAGUCGAACGGCAGCACGGACUUCGGUCUGGUGGCGAGUGGCGAACGGGUGAGUAAUGUAUCGGAACGAUGCCUAAGUAGCGGGGGAUGCUUCGCAGCGUAGCUAAUACCACGCCCUUCGGGGGAAAGCGGGGGACCUUCGGGCCUCGCACUAUUAGAAGCGGCCGAUAUCGGAUUAGCUAGUUGGUGGGGUAACGGCUCACCAGGCGAUCCGUAGCUGGUUUGAGAGGACGACCAGCCACACUGGGACUCAGAACACGGCCCAAUCACGGAGCAGCAGUGGGGAAUUUUGGACAAUGGGGGAAACCCUGAUCCAGCCAUCCCGCGUGUGCGAUGAAGACCUUCAGGUUGUAAAGCACUUUGGCAGGAGGGGAAGAAACGGCACGGGAUAAUACCCCGUGCAACUGGCGAAUACCUGCAGAAUAAGCUACCGGCUAACUACGUGCCAACCGCGGUAAUACGUAGGUGCAAGCGUUAAUCAGGCCACUGGCGUAAAGCGUGCGCAGUGGUUCGGAAAGAAAGAUGUGAAAUCAGAGCUUAACUUUGGAACUGCAUUUUUAACUACCGAGCUAGAGUGUGUCAGGAGGUGGAAUUCCGCGUGUAGCAGUGAAAUGCGUAGAUAUGCGGAGGAACACCGAUGGCGAAGGCAGCCUCCUGGGAUAACACUGACACGCUCAUGCACGAAAAGCGUGGGGAGCAAACAGAGUUAGAUACCCUGGUAGUCCACGCCCUAAACGAUGUCAACUAGCUGUUGGGCCUUCGGGCCUUGGUAGCAACUAACGUGAAGUUGACCGCCUGGGAAUUACGGUCGCAAGAUUAAAACUCAAAAGGAAUUGACGGGGACCCGCACAAGCGGUGGAUGAUGUGGAUUAAUUCGAUGCAGCGCGAAAAACCUUACCCUUGACAUGUGCAGGAUCCCGAAGAGAUUUGGGAGUGCUCGCAAGAGAACCGGAACACAGGUGCUGCAUGGCUGUCGUCAGCUCGUGUCGUGAGAUGUUGGGUUAAGUCCCGCAACGAGCGCAACCCUUGUAGUUGCUACGAAAGGACACUCUAAUGGACUGCCGGUGACAAACCGGAGAAGGUGAGGAUGACGUCAGUCCUCAUGGCCCUUAUGGGUAGGGCUUCACACGUCAUGCAAUGGUCGGGACAGAGGGUCGCCCGCGCGAGGGGGAGCCAAUCCCAGAAACCCACCCGAUCGUAGUCCGGAUCGCAGUCUGCAACUCUACGACUGCGUGAAGUCAGGAAUCGCUAGUAAUCGCGGAUCAGCAUGUCGCGGUGAAUACGUUCCAGGUCUUGUACACACCGCCCGUCACACCAUGGGAGUGGGUUUUACCAGAAGUAGUUAGCCUAACCGUAAGGAGGCGAUUACCACGGUAGGAUUCAUGAUGACUGGGGUGAAGUCGUAACAAGGUAG
RNAcentral lists this ribosomal RNA (1462 nucleotides) under uncultured Bordetella sp. RNAcentral's name for it is "partial 16S-23S ribosomal RNA intergenic spacer". It matches the Rfam family "Bacterial small subunit ribosomal RNA". Lineage: Bacteria; Pseudomonadati; Pseudomonadota; Betaproteobacteria; Burkholderiales; Alcaligenaceae. The record is from RNAcentral.